AGCCAGCGUCCUUCACCCGUCAGGGCCAGGAGACGGCUACAGCCAUCGCAGAGGAUGGCAUACCGAGGGCUACAGCGGAGCUGAAUCAACACCCGACUCCAGAAGCCGCACUUGUCCCUGUUGCACCCAACCCCGUCAUAUGAGUCGGAGAUGGUGGUCGAGAAACUGAACGAAGAUGGAGCAGGAGGAAGAGAUCAGUUGAUAGGAUCGCCUUUGAACUUAUAUUCCAGAAGUCGCACUUGUCCCUGUUGCACCCAACCCCGUUAUGUGAGUCGUAUAUGACGGUCGAGAAACUGAACGAAGAUGGAGCAGGAGGGAAGAGAUCAGUUGGUACGAUUGCCUCUGAACUUAUGCUAGAAAGCUCGUGGUUCUUCGUCUUGUGUAAAUGUUUUGUAAAUACAUGCGUGCAGCCUUGGCUGACAUGGGAUGUCUUCUGUUUAGGACGAAGAUGGAGCAGGAGGAAGAGAUGAGAU
Pollicipes pollicipes is the source of this 473-nucleotide long non-coding RNA. RefSeq lists it as uncharacterized. The transcript is spliced from 3 exons. The record is from RefSeq and is a predicted model, not a curated record. Lineage: Eukaryota; Metazoa; Arthropoda; Thecostraca; Pollicipedomorpha; Pollicipedidae.